AAUCCACGGCGAGGACACCUUCUUAUCAAAUCCUUAUACCUCUCCUAAGCCUCAUAUAGUGUCUCAAAAUCAAAUUGCAUAAAAAAAGUAAUAUCAUUCCUCAUCUU
Small nucleolar RNA from Theobroma cacao (cacao), 107 nucleotides. It matches the Rfam family "Plant small nucleolar RNA R71". From Rfam's summary of the family: R71 is a member of the C/D box family of snoRNAs containing the C (UGAUGA) and D (CUGA) box motifs. Multiple nearly identical copies of this snoRNA have been identified in Arabidopsis, and it is thought to function as a 2'-O-ribose methylation guide for 18S ribosomal RNA. NCBI's taxonomy places the organism in Eukaryota, Viridiplantae, Streptophyta, Magnoliopsida, Malvales, Malvaceae. The record is from Rfam.